CCUACGGGAGGCAGCAGUGGGGAAUAUUGCACAAUGGGGGAAACCCUGAUGCAGCGACGCCGCGUGCGUGAAGAAGUAUUUCGGUACGUAAAGCUCUAUCAGCAGGGAAGAAAAUGACGGUACCUGACUAAGAAGCCACGGCUAACUACGUGCCAGCAGCCGCGGUAAUACGUAGGGGGCAAGCGUUAUCCGGAUUUACUGGGUGUAAAGGGAGCGUAGACGGCAGCGCAAGUCUGGAGUGAAAUCCCAUGGCUUAACCAUGGAACUGCUUUGGAGACUGUGCAGCUAGAGUGCAGGAGAGGUAAGCGGAAUUCCUAGUGUAGCGGUGAAAUGCGUAGAUAUUAGGAGGAACACCAGUGGCGAAGGCGGCUUACUGGACUGUAACUGACGUUGAGGCUCGAAAGCGUGGGGAGCAAACAGGAUUAGAUACCCUUGUAGUC
This 440-nucleotide ribosomal RNA is filed under the name uncultured bacterium. RNAcentral's name for it is "partial 16S ribosomal RNA". It matches the Rfam family "Bacterial small subunit ribosomal RNA", at positions 338 to 795 of the family's 1533-position model. The record is from RNAcentral.